GGCUGGAGAUGUUCAGAGACGAGGCUGUUCCGGUUUCCCUUGCAUGUAUUCCCAUCUAGGAACAAAAGCAGGAAAGGCCUCAUUGUACAAAACAUUGGCCAGUUUUAUUGAUGAUUGCUUCAGUGACCCGUUAUGUGACCCAGUAUUUUAAACGUGGAAGACUAGCGUAAUCAGGCAGACGAAAACGACAAAGUCCAACAAGAAAAAUACAAAAGCUUAUGGAAACACCUCUGUACAAGAUUGUAGAAUGGCGCAUGCGCAAUGGGGAUUAACAUCAACCGAAACAUUUACAAUGGACUUGAAUAGCCCAUAUCAAGGAAUAUAACUUUUUGUUUAAGUUACUGUAAAUAGGUCCAUUUUUCUUUUUUUUCUUUCAGAGAAAAACACAAAUGUAAAUAAAGAAAGAUAGUGGUUUCAUAAUGAGGAAUAUAAAAUAUUUUUUCAAAUGUUCAAGCACAUAAAUCCUAUAUAAGCAUUGCAAGAACGUGCUAAAGAAUUUCAAAUAUUUAAAAUCAAUCUAAUUUCUCCUUUGGGAAAUUGAUGAAAAUUGAUGCUUAAUAUUGGAGAUUACACAAAAUAUGUUUUUAAUUGAUAAUUUAAAUUAUGAAGCGGUAUUAUAGAACCCGUCCAUUUAUAACAAAAAAUAUACAUAUGCAGCCGUAGUAGAACUAUAUAAACUUAAGUUACUUUUAUUCCCUAUUAUGAAUGCACUGUUGUUACAUUUUGUUGAAAAUGUUCAUGGCCUUGACCUGUCUUCACAAUCGGACGUCACUAUUGUUUACUGUAUAUAGUUGUUAAGUUUGUAUUUAAAGCGUUUCGUUCUCUUUAGUUUUAAGAUGUAAUUGUCCUAUAUUAUGUGUAUGUUUAGUUAUUCCAAGUAGUCCGGUAUAAUGUAUUUUGUUAAGUUUUAUUUUUAAUUUUUUAUGCAUAGCUGCAUGACCCUAUAAAGUUUGAAUACUUCUCCUCAAACUAUUUCUACUUCCAAAUAAACGCUUGUUAUUCAACCAUAGAAAUUGAAAUAAAUUAUUCAUUUAUAAUACUGUUAUCUCAAAAAUAUCUUUCUCUUUAAUACGUAAUAAUAUCAGGAAAUUUAUAUUUUAUAGGUUUGAAUAAAUUAUCUUUUUUUGUAUAUUCUAUUAUUAAAAACUUAUUAAGUUUUUAUAAAGUAACAUAAAUGUUGACACGUUUUCUUUCUCUGUACGUGUCAAUGUUUCAAAAUGGCAUUCAAAUACUUGAUAUUCGGGAUUCUGAUUAGUUUCAUUAAUUAAAAAAAUAUUUUAUGACAUUUUGAAAUUGAUUGAAAAAAUGAUCUUGCAUCAGUUAAUGACGAAUGUAAGAACAUAUGUAAAAUUGACUAAAUCAUAAAGGCGUAUUUGAAACAUGCUGUUUAAUUUGGCAAUGUCGAAAAUUAAAAAACUUUAGUUCAUCAUGUUAUUGUGGUCAGACAUCCUUAUAAUUAGAUAAAUGAGAGGCUUUGUCGCGGGUUAAUAGAAUGAAUACUAUUUAAAGAAAUGCACAGCAACGUUCUAUAAAUAACAUACAUUUAACUUAAAUUUCAUGGAAGCGAACAAAACAGACAGUACUUAACAUAAAUCUUUUUUAUGUCUUGCGCUCCUUUCUAUCAAGUUAUUUUUAUUCAAAGAAGAUACAUUUACUUAUCAAAAUUUGAUUUAGAUAGUCUGUAUUCUCUAUACAGUUCUGUCAACUCAUCUUCAAAGAAGUCAGUACUAUACUUUGGAAGCAGAGUGCUGCAAGGUAAAUAGAAAAUGACAGACCAAAAUAUAACAACAAUCACAUUUCAAAUAGCUGUUUAUAUGACAUCAUUGGUAAUUUGAAAUAUAAUACAAACUGAACAAAUGAAGAUCGCCACUUUUGUUUUUUUGAAAUUUCGUGACAUUUUGUGCAAUGUAUUAGACACAAUCAAGAAAAAUGACAUUUUAUGUUAGCUGAAAUCUUGUUUAAAAAUUAAAUGUGACAUUUACAAUCAGUGUAAAGAGGUGUUUUUGUUUUGAAAAAUUGCUAACAUUAUUUUCUUUACCAUCUAUAUCAUGUAAUAUAUGUAACAUCUUAAAUAUAUGAAACAAAAUAAAAUCUGAUUUUUGGCAAUAUAAA
Ruditapes philippinarum (Manila clam) is the source of this 2112-nucleotide long non-coding RNA. RefSeq lists it as uncharacterized. NCBI's taxonomy places the organism in Eukaryota, Metazoa, Mollusca, Bivalvia, Venerida, Veneridae. The record is from RefSeq and is a predicted model, not a curated record. The transcript is spliced from 3 exons.